This 301-nucleotide ribosomal RNA is filed under the name uncultured archaeon. Its description in RNAcentral is "partial 16S ribosomal RNA". It matches the Rfam family "Bacterial small subunit ribosomal RNA", at positions 1053 to 1347 of the family's 1533-position model. The record is from RNAcentral.
CGUCAGCUCUCGUUUUGAAAUGUCAAAUUAAGUCAAACAACGAGCGAGACCCCCACCCCUUGUUGUUAUUCCCGUCUCCUGAGGGGGGGCACUCUAAGGGGACUGCCGCUGUUAAACCGAAGAAAGAGUGGGGACAACGCCAAUUCAUCAUGCCCCUUACCCCCGGGGCUCCCCCCGGGUUCCAAUGCAGGGUCCAAAGGGUUGCGACCCCGAAAGGGGGAGCCAAUCCCUCAAACCCUGUCGCAGUUGGGAUUGAGGUCUGCACUCGCCCUCUGAAAGUGGAAUUCGCUAGUAAUCGCGG